UAAAGAAUAUUGGACAAUGAACGUAAACCUGAUCCAGCCAUGCCGCGUGUGUGAAGAAGGCCCUCGGGUUGUAAAGCACUUUCAGUGGGGAAGAACGCCUGGUGGUUAAUACCCGUCAGGAAGGACAUCACCCACAGAAGAAGCACCGGCUAACUCCGUGCCAGCAGCCGCGGUAAUACGGAGGGUGCGAGCGUUAAUCGGAAUUACUGGGCGUAAAGCGCGCGUAGGUGGCUUGAUAAGCCGGUUGUGAAAGCCCCGGCUGCAACCUGGGAACGGCAUCCGGAACUGUCAGGCUAGAGUGCAGGAGAGGAAGGUAGAAUUCCCGGUGUAGCGGUGAAAUUGCGUAGAGAUCGGGAGGAAUACCAGUGGCGAAGGCGGCCUUCUGGACUGACACUGACACUGAGGUGCGAAAAGCGUGGGUAGCAAAACA
RNAcentral lists this ribosomal RNA (430 nucleotides) under uncultured Halomonas sp. RNAcentral describes it as "bacterial SSU rRNA". It matches the Rfam family "Bacterial small subunit ribosomal RNA", at positions 355 to 775 of the family's 1533-position model. Lineage: Bacteria; Pseudomonadati; Pseudomonadota; Gammaproteobacteria; Oceanospirillales; Halomonadaceae. The record is from RNAcentral.